RNAcentral lists this ribosomal RNA (378 nucleotides) under uncultured eukaryote. Its description in RNAcentral is "partial 18S ribosomal RNA". It matches the Rfam family "Eukaryotic small subunit ribosomal RNA", at positions 592 to 976 of the family's 1831-position model. The record is from RNAcentral.
CAAUAGCGGAUAUUUAAGUUGUUGCAGUUAAAAAGCUCGUAGUUGGAUUUCGGGUGGGACGCAGCGGUCUCGCAUUGCGUUUGUACUGCUGCAGCCCUCCUUCUUGCCGGGGGCGGCCUCUCGGACUUCACUGUCUGGGGGUCAGAAUCGGCGAUGUUACUUUGAGUAAAUUAGAGUGUUCAAAGCAAGCUUACGCUCUGAAUAUAAUAGCAUGGGAUAACACGACAGGACUCUGGCCUAUCGUGUUGGUCUAUAGGACCAGAGUAAUGAUUAAGAGGGACAGUCGGGGGCAUUCGUAUUCCGUUGUCAGAGGUGAAAUUCUUGGAUUUACGGAAGACGAACAUCUGCGAAAGCAUUUGCCAAGGAUGUUUUCAUUGA